RNAcentral lists this ribosomal RNA (407 nucleotides) under uncultured bacterium. Its description in RNAcentral is "bacterial SSU rRNA". It matches the Rfam family "Bacterial small subunit ribosomal RNA", at positions 355 to 774 of the family's 1533-position model. The record is from RNAcentral.
UGGGGAAUAUUGCACAAUGGGCGCAAGCCUGAUGCAGCAACGCCGCGUGAGGGACGACGGCCUUCGGGUUGUAAACCUCUUUUGGCAGGGAAGAAGCGAAAGUGACGGUACCUGCAGAAAAAGCACCGGCUAACUACGUGCCAGCAGCCGCGGUGAUACGUAGGGUGCAAGCGUUGUCCGGAAUUAUUGGGCGUAAAGAGCUCGUAGGCGGUUUGUCGCGUCCGCUGUGAAAACCCGAGGCUCAACCUCGGGCCUGCAGUGGGUACGGGCAAACUAGAGUGCGGUAGGGGAGAUUGGAAUUCCUGGUGUAGCGGUGGAAUGCGCAGAUAUCAGGAGGAACACCGAUGGCGAAGGCAGAUCUCUGGGCCGUAACUGACGCUGAGGAGCGAAAGCAUGGGGAGCGAACA